Molecule: ribosomal RNA, 450 nt
Filed under: uncultured bacterium
Lineage: Bacteria
Description: bacterial SSU rRNA
Rfam family: Bacterial small subunit ribosomal RNA
Source: RNAcentral
UCGAGAAUUUUUCACAAUGGACGAAAGUCUGAUGGAGCGACGCCGCGUGGAGGAUGAAGGUUUUCGGAUUGUAAACUCCUGUCACUGCAGAACAAGGGUAUCGAAUCUAAUAAAUUCGAUAUUUGAUGGUAUGCGGAGAGGAAGGGACGGCUAACUCUGUGCCAGCAGCCGCGGUAAGACAGAGGUCCCGAGCGUUGUUCGGAUUCAUUGGGCGUAAAGGGUGUGUAGGAGGUCGGGUAAGUCAGGUGUGAAAUCUCACUGCUUAACGGUGAAACUGCGCUUGAUACUGCUCGGCUAGAGGAUCGGAGGGGGUAACGGAAUUCAUGGUGUAGCAGUGAAAUGCGUAGAUAUCAUGAGGAACACCGGUGGCGAAGGCGGUUACCUGGAAGAUUCCUGACUCUGAAACACGAAAGCCAGGGGAGCAAACGGGAUUAGAUACCCCCGUAGUCC